Molecule: ribosomal RNA, 657 nt
Filed under: uncultured Ehrlichia sp.
Lineage: Bacteria; Pseudomonadati; Pseudomonadota; Alphaproteobacteria; Rickettsiales; Anaplasmataceae
Description: bacterial LSU rRNA
Rfam family: Bacterial large subunit ribosomal RNA
Source: RNAcentral
AGACGAAUUUUGAUCCGCAGAUUUCUGAAUGGGGAAACCUAAUCAAUUUAUUGAUUAUUGCAUAUUGAAUACAUAGAUAUGUAAAGCAAACCUGGUGAACUGAAAUAUCUCAGUAGCUAGAGGAAAGGAAAUCAAAAGAGACUCCGUUAGUAGUGACGAGCGAACGCGGAUCAGGCCAGUGGUUUAUAGUUAAAAAUUAGAAUACUUUGGAAAGAGUAGCCAUAGAUGGUGAUAGCCCAGUAUAAGUAAAAAGAUUAUAGAUCCUUGAGUAGGGCGGGACACGUGAAAUCCUGUUUGAAGAUGGGGGGACCAUCCUCCAAGCCUAAGUACUCCUUAACGACCGAUAGUGGACAAGUACCGUGAGGGAAAGGUGAAAAGAACCCCGGGAGGGGAGUGAAAUAGACCCUGAAAUCGAAUGCUUACAACCAGUUGGAGCCUUAUAUUUAUCUUUGGGAGCAAUCUCAUCUAUAUUUAUUAGGGUGACAGCGUACCUUUUGCAUAAUGGGUCAGCGAGUUAAUCUAUUAAGCAAGCUUAAGCCGUUAGGUGUAGGCACAGCGAAAGCGAGUCUGAAUAGGGCGUUUAGUUUAAUGGAUUAGACCCGAAACCAAGUGAUCUAACCAUGGCCAGGUUGAAGGUGUAGUAAAAUACAUUGGAGG